GGGUGAGUAACACGUGGGUGAUCUGCCCUGCACUUCGGGAUAAGCUUGGGAAACUGGGUCUAAUACCGGAUAGGAGCCAUCUUUAGUGUGGUGGUUGGAAAGUUUUUUCGGUGUAGGAUGAGCUCGCGGCCUAUCAGCUUGUUGGUGGGGUAAUGGCCUACCAAGGCGGCGACGGGUAGCCGGCCUGAGAGGGUGUACGGCCACAUUGGGACUGAGAUACGGCCCAG
This 227-nucleotide ribosomal RNA is filed under the name uncultured Actinomycetales bacterium. RNAcentral describes it as "partial 16S ribosomal RNA". It matches the Rfam family "Bacterial small subunit ribosomal RNA", at positions 104 to 334 of the family's 1533-position model. The record is from RNAcentral. Lineage: Bacteria; Bacillati; Actinomycetota; Actinomycetes; Actinomycetales.